Phragmites australis (common reed) is the source of this 326-nucleotide long non-coding RNA. RefSeq lists it as uncharacterized. The record is from RefSeq and is a predicted model, not a curated record. The transcript has 3 exons. NCBI's taxonomy places the organism in Eukaryota, Viridiplantae, Streptophyta, Magnoliopsida, Poales, Poaceae.
ACAAUACUGCCCCUGGGGUGUUCACACGCAUCUCCUCCAGGUUUUGCUUUGCCUUGGCCCGAAGCGAACGAAUCCUCCUCCUCCUCCUCCUCCUCGCUCCCUCUGCUAGACUGGCGUGGAGAUUCGUCCGGACUUAGGUGCUGCGGACUGGGCAAAUAGAUCUUGCUCAAUUUGGAGUUGACCCCAGUAAAUACAAGUUCACGGUGGACUCAUUCCUGGAGGCUUUGGAAGACUCUGUUGCCAAAGCUUGUGCAUCUGGAGACAAGAAUGUGCAGUCCCAGGGAGGCAGUGGAAAUGAUCCCAUGGACGAGAGUUGGUAAGGCGGC